CUUCUUUCGCCGGGUGGUUGUUAAGGGGUUUCUCGGUCCAUUCGCUUUCAUAUGUCUCCAUGGCUUCUGCUGGAGCUGCGUGCUUCUCCUUCUUCAAAGGCCUAACUACAUUUGCCGUCUUCCACUCGACUGGUGUGUCUCCUCCAUGGGCCGCUGUUGCUAGCGCCGUUGAUGUCUUGCCUCCUGCUAUGUCUUUCUUGUGCUCCGGGGGGCGCUGGUCGGGUGUCCUGGUGGUGACUCCUACAUGGACGGCUUCUUCUCCUGUGGCAUUGUCUGGUACCGGUGUCUUAUGCACUCCCGACCUUUCUGCUGGUUG
RNAcentral lists this long non-coding RNA (316 nucleotides) under Androctonus crassicauda. The record is from RNAcentral. Lineage: Eukaryota; Metazoa; Arthropoda; Arachnida; Scorpiones; Buthidae.